This 1199-nucleotide ribosomal RNA is filed under the name Acinetobacter bereziniae. Its description in RNAcentral is "bacterial SSU rRNA". It matches the Rfam family "Bacterial small subunit ribosomal RNA", at positions 139 to 1332 of the family's 1533-position model. Lineage: Bacteria; Pseudomonadati; Pseudomonadota; Gammaproteobacteria; Moraxellales; Moraxellaceae. The record is from RNAcentral.
GGGGACAACAUCUCGAAAGGGAUGCUAAUACCGCAUACGCCCUACGGGGGAAAGCAGGGGAUCACUUGUGACCUUGCGUUAAUAGAUGAGCCUAAGUCGGAUUAGCUAGUUGGUGGGGUAAAGGCCUACCAAGGCGACGAUCUGUAGCGGGUCUGAGAGGAUGAUCCGCCACACUGGGACUGAGACACGGCCCAGACUCCUACGGGAGGCAGCAGUGGGGAAUAUUGGACAAUGGGGGGAACCCUGAUCCAGCCAUGCCGCGUGUGUGAAGAAGGCCUUAUGGUUGUAAAGCACUUUAAGCGAGGAGGAGGCUCUUUUGGUUAAUACCCAAGAUGAGUGGACGUUACUCGCAGAAUAAGCACCGGCUAACUCUGUGCCAGCAGCCGCGGUAAUACAGAGGGUGCGAGCGUUAAUCGGAUUUACUGGGCGUAAAGCGUGCGUAAGCCGGCUUUUUAAGUCGGAUGUGAAAUCCCGAGCUUAACUUGGGAAUUGCAUUCGAUACUGGGAAGCUAGAGUAUGGGAGAGGAUGGUAGAUUCCAGGUGUAGCGGUGAAAUGCGUAGAGAUCUGGAGGAAUACCGAUGGCGAAGGCAGCCAUCUGGCCUAAUACUGACGCUGAGGUACGAAAGCAUGGGGAGCAAACAGGAUUAGAUACCCUGGUAGUCCAUGCCGUAAACGAUGUCUACUAGCCGUUGGGGUCUUUGAGACUUUAGUGGCGCAGCUAACGCGAUAAGUAGACCGCCUGGGGAGUACGGUCGCAAGACUAAAACUCAAAUGAAUUGACGGGGGCCCGCACAAGCGGUGGAGCAUGUGGUUUAAUUCGAUGCAACGCGAAGAACCUUACCUGGUCUUGACAUAGUAAGAACUUUCCAGAGAUGGAUUGGUGCCUUCGGGAACUUACAUACAGGUGCUGCAUGGCUGUCGUCAGCUCGUGUCGUGAGAUGUUGGGUUAAGUCCCGCAACGAGCGCAACCCUUUUCCUUACUUGCCAGCAUUUCGGAUGGGAACUUUAAGGAUACUGCCAGUGACAAACUGGAGGAAGGCGGGGACGACGUCAAGUCAUCAUGGCCCUUACGACCAGGGCUACACACGUGCUACAAUGGUCGGUACAAAGGGUUGCUACCUAGCGAUAGGAUGCUAAUCUCAAAAAGCCGAUCGUAGUCCGGAUUGGAGUCUGCAACUCGACUCCAUGAAGUCGGAAU